ACGUUGAUAGGUCGGGUGUGUAAGCGUAGCGAUACGUUGAGCUAACCGAUACUAAUGAACCGUGAGGCUUAACCUUACAACGCCGAAGGUGUUU
Molecule: ribosomal RNA, 94 nt
Filed under: Klebsiella aerogenes
Lineage: Bacteria; Pseudomonadati; Pseudomonadota; Gammaproteobacteria; Enterobacterales; Enterobacteriaceae
Description: partial 23S ribosomal RNA
Rfam family: Bacterial large subunit ribosomal RNA (bases 1-76)
Source: RNAcentral